RNA transcript from Lolium rigidum, 2722 nucleotides. It is a transcript of the gene named glucuronoxylan 4-O-methyltransferase 1-like, with no coding region annotated. NCBI's taxonomy places the organism in Eukaryota, Viridiplantae, Streptophyta, Magnoliopsida, Poales, Poaceae. The record is from RefSeq and is a predicted model, not a curated record. The transcript is spliced from 2 exons.
AAAGUCAAAUCUACCUACCGGCAGCAGACCUGCGGAGGACAAGCAAGGCAACAGAGCAGGAAGAUUCAGAUUUCAGACCAACAGCCUGAGAUCUGGUGAGAGGAAUCGGCGAGAAAUGGAGAAGCAGACCGGUCGAUCAAGAAAUCAGUAGAGCGGGAGAGUGAGAGGGUUAGAUCGAGAAGCGAGCAAGAUGAUGUCGCCAAGAAUUCAGAUUCCGAUAAGCAUCGGCGGGAGCAGGACGAUGAUGUCGCCGAAGCAGCUGCUGAUCACCAUCCUCGUCGUCUUCUCCACGCUCUCCUUCAUCAAGUUCCUCCUCAUCACCCACCCCUCCGCCGGCGCCUCCUCGACCGCUCAUCUCCACCGCGCGGAGUGGGAGUCCGGCAACGGCACCGCCGCCAGGAACGACGGCCUCGCCGCCAAAGAGUUCGCUUUGCUCCGCUCCGUCGUCGCCGCGCGCGCGCCGUGCAGGCUGCUGGUGUUCGGCCUCUCGCCGCAGCUCCUCGCGCUCGCCGCCGUCAACUCCGGGCCGGGCGCCGCCACCGCCUUCGUCACCGACAGUGCUGAGGAUGGGGACGCCGCGCGCCGCGUGCUCGCGGGCCGUGUCGGCGGCUCUUCGUGCGCCGUCCACCGGGCGGGGUACCCCGACGCGGCCGGGGAGGCGUGGGCGCUGCUGCGGCGCGCGCGGGCGGCGGGCCCGGCGUGCGCGCGGCCGACGGGGACGGUGCGCAAGUCCGGGUGCCGGCUGGCGCUGACCUCGCUGCCGCGGGAGGUGCUCGACGCCAGGUGGGACGUGGUCGUCGUCGACGGGCCGAGCGGGGCCGGACCGGAGGAGCCCGGCCGGAUGGGCGCCAUCUACACGGCCGCAGCACUCGCCCGGGCGGCCGCCGCGGCGGGCGGUGGCGGGGUGGUGGACGUGGCGGUGCACGACGUGGAUCGGACCGUGGAGCGCUGGUACGCCAGGGAGUACCUCUGCGAGGACAACCUCGUCGCCGCCAAAGGCCGCCUCUGGCACUUCCGUGUCGGCGCCGGCGGGCAACGGGACACCUUCUGCUCCACCGCUCCCGUCAAGAUCUUGUAGGGACAGAAUCAAAGGCUGCCAUUUCUGGGCAUCGCCGGAGGCACUGCCAUCGUAGGAGGUCAAUGCAUACAUACGAAUUGAUAGUCGAUGAAACCUCUGCUGAGACAUGUGCAAUUCUCGGAAAUUCCUCGAGCUCGAAGCUAGGUGCUGGGGCGAUUGGAUGUUCCAUGCUCAUAUAGAUAAUGGCGUUAGGAAUUUAGGAUGAUGCAGGAUGAAGCUGAUACUGGGACGAUGGAAGAUAGUCUGUACACUGCUGCAGAGCAUCUUCUCAUGCUGAUUGUUGGGAUCUUCUAGCAACAAGAUUUAAAACCAGCAAUCAGAAUCAAGCACGGCGAACAACUGAUGAGUUGGAAAAAUUAUCAUUGGGAUUAGAAGGUCAGUGCUGUGUGAAACGUUACUCUGUUUCCUUGUUUGAUCUUGGAAAGCAUCUUAUACCACUCUAAUAAUAACUCUUAUUUGUUGAGGGACAAGUUUAUUUUCUAACCACUCCAAUAUUUUUAAAAAGCACCAAAGUGUCUCUCGGAUGGUGCUCGCCGCAGCCAAGUCCUCGAGGUCAAAAGAAUCGAAAAAUUAAACGUUGAGCUAACAAAGUAUCUACAGAAUCAGAUAGUGGCAAUUAUACUUUACGAACAAAUAGAAGUUAAUUAGCCGAUCCAAUAGAUUAUCAUUGAAGGCAACAUGUCCAUUUCACUACAAAAUAGUUUUAUCUGCAUGCUAUACAAACUCCCAGGAGUACUAAGACUGAUUAUCAAUCAUCCCAGCAAUACCUAAAGCAUUCUGAAAAAUCGUGCUUGUCUCACACGGCUACAUCUGCGCUUUGGAAAAAAAGUAUGCCUGACAAGGCUCUCUUUGAACCAGUGUUCAGUAAUGUCUGGAGACUGUGUUUCCCACUGAAAUUUCUCCAGUAACUUCCCGUUAUCAUCGUAGUGAAGUUGGUGUAAGAACGACUCCAAAUAGCAGACCAGCAUAUCGCUUUUAUCAGACAUAAUCGUACGAUACCAAUACUUUGUGGUUGGCAAAUCGAUCUGACACUUAAGUGACCAGGCCUCUCGCUCGUAGUCAUGCAGUACCCAUAUUUGCAUAACCCCCUCGUUCGUAUCUAAGCACCUCAUGCCAAGCAUGCCUUCCAUCUGAAACAAAACCCGAAAGCCUCUAACGUUGUCCGGAGAGGUCAUAAACCUAAAUGACUCUUCCAGUAUGUCAAAAACAAAUACUCUAUCGCUUGAGCCGCGGUUCCAAGGGCUGCGGUUCCAAUCUAUUGAGCGGUUCCAGUGAAGGCAACCCUUAAGCAGAACAGGUGGACUCCACCAGCAUGGAUUCAUUCCAGCCUUCAUCACCGCCUCCUUUAUGCAAGCGGAGGCAGCUGGCAGCCCCAAGUAUUUCGGCUUCUGGGAGGAGCCCACUGUGAGGACGUAGUAGCCAGCAUUGCGAACCUCAUGCUUACCCCUCCAAAACAGGAUGCGGUACUCAUCGGAACGGCUUGGGCUUGGGUACAUCCCCGCGAUGUUGCCACUAGCCCCGGCUAGGCGAGGGAGCGCCAGCCACUGGCGUGUGGCUGGGUUGACGAUGCUGAAUCGGACGUAGUUCAUUAGGGAGAGCAGGAGAAGGCCGUCGCACGAGGCACAUAUACUGAAUGUUUGACCA